RNAcentral lists this ribosomal RNA (449 nucleotides) under uncultured bacterium. RNAcentral describes it as "bacterial SSU rRNA". It matches the Rfam family "Bacterial small subunit ribosomal RNA", at positions 382 to 851 of the family's 1533-position model. The record is from RNAcentral.
CCUGACGCAGCAACGCCGCGUGCGGGACGAAGGCCUUCGGGUUGUAAACCGCUUUCAGCAGGGAAUAUAGUGAAGGUACCUGCAGAAGAAGCUCCGGCUAACUACGUGCCAGCAGCCGCGGUAAUACGUAGGGAGCGAGCGUUAUCCGGAUUCAUUGGGCGUAAAGCGCGCGUAGGCGGCCCGUCAAGCGGGGUUUCAAAUCCAGGGGCUCAACCUCUGGCCGGACCCCGAACUGGCGGGCUCGAGUGCGGUAGAGGAAGGUGGAAUUCCCAGUGUAGCGGUGAAAUGCGCAGAUAUUGGGAAGAACACCGAUGGCGAAGGCAGCCUUCUGGGCCGCCACUGACGCUGAGGCGCGAAAGCUAGGGGAGCGAACAGGAUUAGAUACCCUGGUAGUCCUAGCCGUAAACGAUGAGCGCUAGGUGUGGGGGAGCAUCUCCUCCGUGCCGCAG